This is a long non-coding RNA of Homo sapiens (human), 501 nucleotides long. Ensembl annotates it as MEF2C antisense RNA 1. Its record names the gene MEF2C-AS1. NCBI's taxonomy places the organism in Eukaryota, Metazoa, Chordata, Mammalia, Primates, Hominidae. The record is from Ensembl.
GGAGUGUUUCUAGAGCUCGGAGGCUGCUGGUAGGGGGGCACCACUUUCAGAUAAAAACAUAGACCUGAAUGGCAUCAUCCAGUAUCCAAGGAAACCAUGUUCUCUAAACAUGAAUAUGCCUUUGGGGGAAGACAGAAGAACAUGGAAGCCAUGUGAAAAAAACGGAUCCUAAGGCAGUUUUGAACAUCUGGAGGCCUGAUUUAUUGGAGAUUGCAAAUGUACAGUGUAACAUAGCUGUGGAGAGAUCUCACAUGAGAUGGCAAAGAGGUCAAGACAAAAAUUCUGCAUUUGGGAAAAGAAUAACACAUGGACUUCCUCCUACAGGAUUAUAGGACUGUGUAUGUCCUACACACACAUUAUAUGUCCUACACGCACAGUGAUGAGGAGUGACAAAAUGAAGACUCCAGAAUCCUCUUUAUCAGAUCCUGAAUGUGCACUUUCUGAAGUGAAGUCCACUAUGUGCUGGGCACACAGAGAAUAGAGCAUGAAACAAAAGCAACA